This 253-nucleotide ribosomal RNA is filed under the name uncultured bacterium. Its description in RNAcentral is "partial 16S ribosomal RNA". It matches the Rfam family "Bacterial small subunit ribosomal RNA", at positions 524 to 776 of the family's 1533-position model. The record is from RNAcentral.
GACGAACCGAGCAAACGUUAUUCGGAAUCACUGGGCUUAAAGGGCGCGUAGGCGGGCAUCCAAGUCUGUGGUGAAAUCCGGCAGCUUAACUGUCGAACUGCCGUGGAUACUGGGUGUCUCGAGGGAGGUAGGGGCGUGCGGAACUAUUGGUGGAGCGGUGAAAUGCGUUGAUAUCAAUAGGAACACCAGUGGCGAAGGCGGCUAACUGGUCCAGAUCUGACGCUGAGGUGCGAAAGCGUGGGGAGCAAACAGG